UAAGACGGAGGGUGCUAGCGUUGUUCGGAAUCACUGGGCGUAAAGGGCGCGUAGGCGGCCUUGGCCGUCGGCUGUGAAAGCCCGGGGCUCAACCCCGGAGGUGCAGCCGAGACCCCAAGGCUGGAGGCCGGAAGAGGAGGGUGGAAUACCCAGUGUAGAGGUGAAAUUCGUAGAUAUUGGGUGGAACACCGGUGGCGAAAGCGGCUCUCUGGUCCGGUCCUGACGCUGAGGCGCGAAAGCGUGGGGAGCAAACAGGAUUAGAUACCCUGGUAGUCCACGCCCUAAACGAUGCGGGCUAGACGUCGGGGGGCAUGCCCCUCGGUGUCGCAGCGAACGCGUUAAGCCCGCCGCCUGGGGAGUACGGCCGCAAGGUUA
Molecule: ribosomal RNA, 375 nt
Filed under: uncultured bacterium
Lineage: Bacteria
Description: bacterial SSU rRNA
Rfam family: Bacterial small subunit ribosomal RNA
Source: RNAcentral